Long non-coding RNA from Phyllostomus hastatus (greater spear-nosed bat), 1001 nucleotides. RefSeq lists it as uncharacterized. The transcript is spliced from 3 exons. Lineage: Eukaryota; Metazoa; Chordata; Mammalia; Chiroptera; Phyllostomidae. The record is from RefSeq and is a predicted model, not a curated record.
UAUAUACUGUGCCAUUCAUUUCUUUUCAUUCAAAAACAUUUAUCGAGCCCUCACUGUGUGUCAGGCGCAGCCUGAGGUGAAGGGGCUGCAUACUGUGCAAGUGUGAAAGGGCAGAGUCCAGCCCUGCCCUCCUGACGCCCUGCCCUCCUGAUGCGGACAACGUGUGAAAGACAGAAGUUAAGCAGUUAAUUACAUAAUGAACCAUCACAGUUUGUAUGUAAACCCUUGGACACAAGAGGAGAAGGAUCCCAGAGGGGGAACCUCAUCUGACUUCUCAGCUGUUGAAUUAAGGAUGAAAAGCAAAGCAGGCUCACCUAGGUGCUGGGGCCACAGGAGCAAGCAAGAGAGGGGAAGAUGCCCUUGUGUUUACAGACGAGGAAACCAAAGAACAAGCAGAUGACAUGGGUUUCCCGGGGCCACAGAGAUGCCAAGUAGCAGAAGAUAUCCCGAAAGGACCUGUUACCUAAGUCGAGACCCCGAAGAUUUAUGCCUGUGUUCUUAUCCGGGAGUGUUAGAGUUUCAGCUCCUCCACGUAGGCCUGUGAUCCAUUUGGAGUUAAUUUUUACAUAUGGUGUGAGGUAAAGGCCCGACUUCGUUCUGCUGCACGUGGACAUGCAGUUUUCCCAGCACCACUUGUUGAAAGGACUGUUCGGGCCACCCUGACUCCCCAGCCUUGUGGAAAAUCAGCUGAUCGCGGGCGUGAGGCCCGGUCUGGACCGACAUGUUCAUUCUCACGCCAGCACCACGGUGUCCUGCUGGCCACAGCUUUGCAAUAAUGUUGAAACUGGGGAGUGUGAGCCCCUCAACUUCGUUCUUUUUCAAGACUGUUUCAGCAAUUCUGGGUCCCUUGGGUUCCCAUACAAACUUUUCGAUCGGCUUGUCAAUUUCUGCAAAAGAAGCUAAUAGGGAUUUUGACAGGGAUUGAGUUGAAUUUGUAGAUCAGUUUAGGGAUGUUUGCCACCUUAACAAUGUUACAUCUCCUGAUCCAUGAACAUGGGUUG